GAUGAAGAACGUAGUGAAAUGCGAUACGUAAUGUGAAUUGCAGAAUUCAGUGAAUCAUCGAAUCUUUGAACGCAUAUUGCGCUCUUUGGUAUUCCGAAGAGCAUGCUUGUUUGAGUAUCAGUAAACACCUCAAAGUCUUUUUUUUUUCUUGAAGAAAAGCCCUUGGACUUGAGCAAUCCCAACUCUUCUUUCAGAAGAGGCGGGUUGCUUGAAAUGCAGGUGCAGCUGGACAUUCUCCUGUGCUAAAAGCAUAUUCAUUUAGUCCCGUCAAACGGAUUAUUACUUUUGCUGCAGCUAACAUAAAGGGAGUUUGACCAUUUUGGCUGACUGAUGCAGGAAUUUCACAAGAGUCUUCAAAACGCUCUUGUUAAACUCGAUCUCAAAUCAAGUAAGACUACCCGCUGAACUUAAGCAUAUCAAUAAGCGGAGGA
This 431-nucleotide unclassified non-coding RNA is filed under the name soil metagenome. Its description in RNAcentral is "partial contains 5.8S ribosomal RNA, internal transcribed spacer 2, and large subunit ribosomal RNA". The stretch from base 1 to 120 matches the Rfam family "5.8S ribosomal RNA", at positions 35 to 154 of the family's 154-position model. The record is from RNAcentral.